CGUCAAGUCAUCACUGGCCCUUACGGCCUGGGCUACACACGUGCUACAAUGGUCGGUACAAAGGGUUGCCAAGCCGCGAGGUGGAGCUAAUCCCAUAAAACCGAUCCGUAGUCCGGAUCGCAGUCUGCAACUCGACUGCGUGAAGUCGGAAUCGCUAGUAAUCGUGAAUCAGAAUGUCACGGUGAAUACGUUCCCGGGCCUU
RNAcentral lists this ribosomal RNA (202 nucleotides) under uncultured Pseudomonas sp. RNAcentral describes it as "partial 16S ribosomal RNA". It matches the Rfam family "Bacterial small subunit ribosomal RNA", at positions 1183 to 1382 of the family's 1533-position model. Lineage: Bacteria; Pseudomonadati; Pseudomonadota; Gammaproteobacteria; Pseudomonadales; Pseudomonadaceae. The record is from RNAcentral.